ACCUUCUGAAGGCGAGUCCUCUGGGGCAGCGGAGGCAGGCACCGCGGGCGACGUCGCGGCCGCCGCCGUCGCUGCUGCCGGCGCUGACUGGCUUGUCGCCGCCGCAGUCGAAUCUGCCUCGGGAUCCGGAUCGGGGUCGGGAUCCCGGCCCGGGGUGCUGCUCCGAGGACCCGGUGGAGAGAGCUGCAGGAUAGGCCUGCGGCCGGGUACCGCCCGGGACUUCUUCCCCAUCAUGAGCCGGAGCGCGAGCAGCGAACGACGGCAGAUUAGUGGGGCGGGCGCACAGCGCCCCGGUGCGUAAUCAAUAUUCAUGAACCGUGGCACCGCCUCCCGAGGAGAUCCGCUUUUAACCGGCGCGGUGCACUUGCGCAUGCGGCCUGCGCCCCGGUGCUUUUACGCACGUUCCGCUCCAUCCAUGGUGGGUGGGCUUUGUUCAGGGAAAAGGCGAUUGGCUGUUUUGACUUGAGACGGACUCGGUAGCCAAUAGCAAAGGGAAAAGACAGGACUUCGCGCCAAUAGUGCGGAAGGGCCCGCGGUGUGUGCGACUUCCUUAGACUGGGGUUGCACCAUGCGCUGUUAGCCAAGUCUUUUCUUUAGGGCUUUGUCCGCCAUCUUGUAGCUAUUUUCAGCUGCUUAUUGCUGUUUGUCUUUGAGGAAGAUAAAGAUACAUUGCACCCUUC
This 680-nucleotide long non-coding RNA is filed under the name Mus musculus (house mouse). Its description in RNAcentral is "predicted gene, 75673". Lineage: Eukaryota; Metazoa; Chordata; Mammalia; Rodentia; Muridae. The record is from RNAcentral.